UUCAAUUCAGAAAAAGCAGUUAAAAGGGAAUCAGGUGUAAAUCCUGAACAGACCCGCUACUGUAAGUUCUACACAAAGUCUUUAAACAUUACUAAUGCCAUUGUUCCGUUUUUGGAGUGAGAAGGCCGUUUAAAGAUAGAAUAAGUCAGGAGACCUGCCACGAUCAC
Molecule: non-coding RNA, 167 nt
Filed under: uncultured Flavobacterium sp.
Lineage: Bacteria; Pseudomonadati; Bacteroidota; Flavobacteriia; Flavobacteriales; Flavobacteriaceae
Source: RNAcentral